CUAAAAAUUAAAGAAGGUGCUCUCAGCUUUAUGGGUCUUGGAGAUACCACAGUUACACAACAUUUCCCCACCAGACACUGCUGGAUGGUAAAAUUUGCCACACAGCAGUUGGUUUUGAGUCAAGAGGAAGGUGCUAGUUCCUGAAGAGACACCUGGAGAAAUGUUUUGUUGCAGACUGAAAUUCCAUGUAACAGGUCUCUGCAGCCAAUUGAUCACAUUCUCCUCUUUGCAAAGCAAGAGUUUAUUUCUUCAGAUUUUGGGGCCCCUGUGUAAACAUACACAAACAGAAGACCAGAAUAAUUCCGUGCAGCUGGAAAUUGAUGGCUUCUGCGAGUGGAAAAACUGGUGUACUCAGAUUGCAGCCGCAAUGUGCUAGAAACAUUCGCACAAUGCAAACAGAUGGAAUCGGAUGAAUUAACACGCGCUACUUUUGGACACUUCUGGGUUACUAUUAAUAGUUCUCUGCUUUAGAUUAAUGCACAGCAUAUGUCAUGUAACAUCGACUUUAAAUUAUCUGCUAGAAUGUGUCCCAGGCUCAAGAUUUUUUUUUGAAGUCCCAAAAUAGUUCCUUUUUAACUCCCUGCCCUCUUCUUCC
This is a long non-coding RNA of Neopsephotus bourkii (Bourke's parrot), 595 nucleotides long. RefSeq lists it as uncharacterized. The record is from RefSeq and is a predicted model, not a curated record. The transcript has 3 exons. NCBI's taxonomy places the organism in Eukaryota, Metazoa, Chordata, Aves, Psittaciformes, Psittacidae.